Long non-coding RNA from Clupea harengus (Atlantic herring), 1224 nucleotides. The record is from Ensembl. NCBI's taxonomy places the organism in Eukaryota, Metazoa, Chordata, Actinopteri, Clupeiformes, Clupeidae.
GCCAAACUGAUUUUUGUGACCACGCCCCCGAGGCGGAAUUUCACCUGGCGAAUUCCACCUGGUCAUAUGCUGUGUGUGAACGAACAGUGAGCACGUUUAGCGUGAGCAGCUAACCAAAAGCCUGCUAGCUAACGCUGCAACCGGAGCAAACCAAUACAAAGCACGAAAUCGCGGAUACAUGCAACAGAACGAGCGAUCAUAUCCUCCUAAACUGCAGUGUAACACGCCAUCAAGACGACAUCUCAGCUACGACUUCCUUCAUCUACGGACACUCUCCAAAAGACUUGGGCAUUUAGCUUUCCUUGCUAUUCACAACCUGGUCAUGGGGAUGGUGUGGUGUAAAGCAUUAGCACCAUGGUCCCAGAACAGUGGAAACGGUCACGAGGCCCCUCCAUCCUGCACGUCCUGCAGCAUGGGUGUGUGUGUGGACCGCUGCUGUGACAUCUGCUGCCAGGGCUGUGUGGGCUGCUUUGGUUGCCUGUGCCCCCGUGACUGUCUCUACACAUUCUGUGCCAUGAUUGCCCGCCUUGCCCACUACUGUUCUGUCGGUCAGAAACCAGAGCCGGCCUAUGCCAUGCCUGGAUCACAGAAAUGCUUCAGUGUGGGAGAAGAGGUGUAGAUGCCACUUUGGCCAAGUUGACGGAGACACAGCGGAGACAGAUGGCCCCAAUGGCAGUCCUCCUCACCCAAAUGUUCCAUCAUCUUUCACCUCUGUCUGUAUUGAUUGGGUCACCAUUUGCUUUUGAGUAGAUUGUUAAGCAUUCUGUGCUUAUUAUUUUGUGAUUGUAUUUUUUUUUAUCAUGUAUACCCAUACUAGCAAUGUUUCUGUGCUCGAUAACAAAAGUUAACAAAUGAUGGCAAUUUCAAUAAAGGCGCUGCCACGCAAAUUCAUCCACUUACUCUGUCUACAGUGCACUGCAAAAAUUCAGCUUUUAAAAACAAGCAAAAAAGUUAGAAAAUGGGGGAUAUAUUACUUAAAAUAAGCAAAAUGAUCUGCCAACAGAACAGGAAAAUUUGGCUUACCAAGAUUUAAAAAAGAAAACCCAAAUAUACCUAAACAACUAAAAACAAGUACAUUUGUCUUGAUUCUGACUUUGACAAAGCAGUUUUGUACUUGUCAGCGGUGAUCAAACUAGUUUCAAGCAUUAACUUGCUCAGAACCAGUAAUAAAAUCUCAGUAACAGGUUAUAAUACCGUAUUAAGAUAAUUAAGAACCGAAACGCU